Molecule: ribosomal RNA, 2255 nt
Filed under: human gut metagenome
Description: bacterial LSU rRNA
Rfam family: Bacterial large subunit ribosomal RNA
Source: RNAcentral
UCAAGCUACUAAGGGCAUACGGUGGAUGCCUAGGCGCCAAGAGCCGAAGAAGGACGCGGUAAGCUGCGAAAAGCCACGGGGAACUGCAAGCAAGUAUUGAUCCGUGGAUAUCCGAAUGGGGAAACCCGGCCAUCGUCAUGGAUGGUCACCCGCAAGGGAGGGAACCUGGGGAACUGAAACAUCUAAGUACCCGGAGGAAGAGAAAUCAAACGAGAUGCCCACAGUAGCGGCGAGCGAAGAGGGCAGAGCCCAAACCGAGAAGCUCCGGCUUUUCGGGGUUGAGGACCGGCAGAAUCGAAGUCAGGCCUAGUUGAAUUACCUGGAAAGGUAAGCGAGAGAGGGUAAAAGCCCCGUAGACGAAAGGCAGAGCAGAGAGGCCGAGAUCCAGAGUACCACGAAGCACGAGGAAUUUUGUGGGAAGCAGGGGGGACCACCCUCCAAGGCUAAAAACUACUUGGCGACCGAUAGCGCAUAGUACCGUGAGGGAAAGGUGAAAAGAACCCCGGGAGGGGAGUGAAAUAGUACCUGAAACCGUAUGUCUACAAGCAGUCGAAGCGAAAGCGACGGCGUGCCUAUUGAAGAAUGAACCAACGAGUUAUCUGCACUAGCGAGGUUAAGUGGAAGACACGGAGCCGCAGCGAAAGCGAGUCUUAAGAGGGCGCUAGUUAGUGUAGGUAGACCCGAAACCGCAGUGAUCUACCCAUGUCCAGGUUGAAGCGCAGGUAAAAUUGCGUGGAGGACCGAACCGGUGAGCGUUGAAAAGCUUUCGGAUGAGAUGUGGGUAGGGGUGAAAUUCCAAUCGAACGCGGAGAUAGCUGGUUCUCCCCGAAAUAGCUUUAGGGCUAGCCUGAGGUAGUAAGUAUAGGCGGUAGAGCACUGAUCGGGCUAGGGGCCGUAAAGGUUACCGAACCCUGUCAAACUCCGAAUGGAUAUACUGUAGAGCCUUGGAGUCAGACUACGAGUGAUAAGAUCCGUGGUCAAAAGGGAAACAGCCCAGACCACCAGCUAAGGUCCCCAAUGUCGUACUAAGUGGAAAAGGAUGUGGGGUUUCAUAAACAACCAGGAUGUUGGCUCAGAAGCAGCCACCAUUUAAAGAGUGCGUAAUAGCUCACUGGUCGAGAGACCCUGCGCCGAAGAUUCCCGGGGCUAAAGUACGAAACCGAAGCUGUGGCUGUAUACGUAAAGUAUACGGGGUAGGGGAGCGUUCCCAUAGGGUAGAAGUCGAACUGGAAGGUUCGGUGGACUUGUGGGAAGUGAGAAUGUUGGUAUGAGUAGCGAAAAGAAAGGUGAGAAUCCUUUCCACCGAAAGCAUAAGGAUUCCUGAGCAACGAUCGUCGUCUCAGGGUAAGUCGGGACCUAAUCCGAGGCAGAGAGCGUAGGAGAUGGACAACUGGUUGAUAUUCCAGUACCGGUAGUAAUUGUUUGAGCAAUGGAGUGACACAGAAGGGCAGGCAAGCAUGCGAAUGGAAGAGCAUGUGUAAGCGUGUAGGGUGGUGCAUAGGCAAAUCCGUGCACUGAAAGCCUGAGGCGUGAUGCGGAGUGAGCAGAGAUGCGAGCGAAGUUGUUGACCCCACACUGUCGAGAAAAGCUUCUAGUGAGAGAGCUACCGCCCGUACCGUAAACCGACACAGGUAUGCGGGGAGAGAAUCCUAAGGUGCGCGGGAGAACCCUCGUUAAGGAACUCGGCAAAAUGUACCCGUAACUUCGGGAUAAGGGUAGCCACUGUUGUGAAGUCCCAUGCGGAUGGAGCAUAGAGUGGUCGCAGAGAAGAGGCCCAAGCGACUGUUUACCAUAAACACAGGUGCCUGCUAAAGCGAAAGCUGACGUAUAGGUGCUGACACCUGCCCAGUGCCGGAAGGUUAAGGAAGGAUGUUCGGAGUAAUCCAAAGCAUUCGACUGAAGCCCCGGUGAACGGCGGCCGUAACUAUAACGGUCCUAAGGUAGCGAAAUUCCUUGUCGGGUAAGUUCCGACCCGCACGAAAGGUGUAACGAUUUGGGCACUGUCUCAACGAGGGACCCGGUGAAAUUGAAAUACCUGUGAAGAUGCAGGUUACCCGCGACUGGACAGAAAGACCCCAUGGAGCUUUACUGUAACCUGACAUUGGGUUUUGAUACAUUACGUACAGGAUAGGUGGGAGGCUUGGAAAGCUGGACGCUAGUCUGGCUGGAGCCGACGUUGGGAUACCACCCUUGAUGUAUUGAAAUUCUAACCGCGAGAGUAACGAAAUCCGGGACAGUGUCAGGCGGGCAGUUUG